This 492-nucleotide ribosomal RNA is filed under the name uncultured bacterium. Its description in RNAcentral is "partial 16S ribosomal RNA". It matches the Rfam family "Bacterial small subunit ribosomal RNA", at positions 29 to 507 of the family's 1533-position model. The record is from RNAcentral.
AGUGAACGCUGGCGGUAGGCCUAACACAUGCGAGUCGAACGGCAGCACAGUAAGAGCUUGCUCUUACGGGUGGCGAGUGGCGGACGGGUGAGGAAUACAUCGGAAUCUACUUUUUCGUGGGGGAUAACGUAGGGAAACUUACGCUAAUACCGCAUACGACCUACGGGUGAAAGCAGGGGAUCUUCGGACCUUGCGCGAUUGAAUGAGCCGAUGUCGGAUUAGCUAGUUGGCGGGGUAAAGGCCCACCAAGGCGACGAUCCGUAGCUGGUCUGAGAGGAUGAUCAGCCACACUGGAACCGAGACACGGUCCAGACUCCUACGGGAGGCAGCAGUGGGGAAUAUUGGACAAUGGGCGCAAGCCUGAUCCAGCCAUACCGCGUGGGUGAAGAAGGCCUUCGGGUUGUAAAGCCCUUUUGUUGGGAAAGAAAAGCAGCAGGUUAAUACCCCGCUGUUCUGACGGUACCCAAAGAAUAAGCACCGGCUAACUUCGUG